UUAAGCGACUAAGCGUACACGGUGGAUGCCCUGGCAGUCAGAGGCGAUGAAGGACGUGCUAAUCUGCGAUAAGCGCCGGUAAGGUGAUAUGAACCGUUAUAACCGGCGAUUUCCGAAUGGGGAAACCCAGUGUGAUUCGUCACACUAUCAUUAACUGAAUCCAUAGGUUAAUGAGGCGAACCGGGGGAACUGAAACAUCUAAGUACCCCGAGGAAAAGAAAUCAACCGAGAUUCCCCCAGUAGCGGCGAGCGAACGGGGAGGAGCCCAGAGCCUGAAUCAGCAUGUGUGUUAGUGGAAGCGUCUGGAAAGGCGCGCGAUACAGGGUGACAGCCCCGUACACAAAAGCGCAUGUGCUGUGAGCUCGAUGAGUAGGGCGGGACACGUGGUAUCCUGUCUGAAUAUGGGGGGACCAUCCUCCAAGGCUAAAUACUCCUGACUGACCGAUAGUGAACCAGUACCGUGAGGGAAAGGCGAAAAGAACCCCGGCGAGGGGAGUGAAAAAGAACCUGAAACCGUGUACGUACAAGCAGUGGGAGCACAGGUUUACCUGUGUGACUGCGUACCUUUUGUAUAAUGGGUCAGCGACUUAUAUUCUGUAGCAAGGUUAACCGUAUAGGGGAGCCGUAGGGAAACCGAGUCUUAACCGGGCGUUAAGUUGCAGGGUAUAGACCCGAAACCCGGUGAUCUAGCCAUGGGCAGGUUGAAGGUUGGGUAACACUAACUGGAGGACCGAACCGACUAAUGUUGAAAAAUUAGCGGAUGACCUGUGGCUGGGGGUGAAAGGCCAAUCAAACCGGGAGAUAGCUGGUUCUCCCCGAAAGCUAUUUAGGUAGCGCCUCGUGAAUUCAUCUCCGGGGGUAGAGCACUGUUUCGGCUAGGGGGCCAUCCCGGCUUACCAACCCGAUGCAAACUGCGAAUACCGGAGAAUGUUAUCACGGGAGACACACGGCGGGUGCUAACGUCCGUCGUGAAGAGGGAAACAACCCAGACCGCCAGCUAAGGUCCCAAAGUCAUGGUUAAGUGGGAAACGAUGUGGGAAGGCCCAGACAGCCAGGAUGUUGGCUUAGAAGCAGCCAUCAUUUAAAGAAAGCGUAAUAGCUCACUGGUCGAGUCGGCCUGCGCGGAAGAUGUAACGGGGCUAAACCAUGCACCGAAGCUGCGGCAGCGAACGUAUCACCCAAGACAACUUUACGGAGUUGACGAUUGACGGAGCGAAGCGACGUCAAAGCGUUCAUUAAAGUCGAGUUGGCUUAGGGAUACGUUCGUUGGGUAGGGGAGCGUUCUGUAAGCCUGUGAAGGUGUGUCGUGAGGCAUGCUGGAGGUAUCAGAAGUGCGAAUGCUGACAUAAGUAACGAUAAAGCGGGUGAAAAGCCCGCUCGCCGGAAGACCAAGGGUUCCUGUCCAACGUUAAUCGGGGCAGGGUGAGUCGACCCCUAAGGCGAGGCCGAAAGGCGUAGUCGAUGGGAAACGGGUUAAUAUUCCCGUACUUGGUGUUACUGCGAAGGGGGGACGGAGAAGGCUAUGUUGGCCGGGCGACGGUUGUCCCGGUUUAAGCGUGUAGGUGUGUGUUCCAGGUAAAUCCGGUUCACUUUAACACUGAGGCGUGACGACGAGGCACUACGGUGCUGAAGCAACAAAUGCCCUGCUUCCAGGAAAAGCCUCUAAGCAUCAGGUAACACGAAAUCGUACCCCAAACCGACACAGGUGGUCAGGUAGAGAAUACCAAGGCGCUUGAGAGAACUCGGGUGAAGGAACUAGGCAAAAUGGUGCCGUAACUUCGGGAGAAGGCACGCUGACACGUAGGUGAAGUGAUUUACUCAUGGAGCUGAAGUCAGUCGAAGAUACCAGCUGGCUGCAACUGUUUAUUAAAAACACAGCACUGUGCAAACACGAAAGUGGACGUAUACGGUGUGACGCCUGCCCGGUGCCGGAAGGUUAAUUGAUGGGGUCAGCGUAAGCGAAGCUCCUGAUCGAAGCCCCGGUAAACGGCGGCCGUAACUAUAACGGUCCUAAGGUAGCGAAAUUCCUUGUCGGGUAAGUUCCGACCUGCACGAAUGGCGUAAUGAUGGCCAGGCUGUCUCCACCCGAGACUCAGUGAAAUUGAACUCGCUGUGAAGAUGCAGUGUACCCGCGGCAAGACGGAAAGACCCCGUGAACCUUUACUAUAGCUUGACACUGAACAUUGAGCCUUGAUGUGUAGGAUAGGUGGGAGGCUUUGAAGUGUGGACGCCAGUCUGCAUGGAGCCGACCUUGAAAUACCACCCUUUAAUGUUUGAUGUUCUAACGUGGACCCGUAAUCCGGGUUGCGGACAGUGUCUGGUGGGUAGUUUGACUGGGGCGGUCUCCUCCUAAAGAGUAACGGAGGAGCACGAAGGUUGGCUAAUCCUGGUCGGACAUCAGGAGGUUAGUGCAAUGGCAUAAGCCAGCUUGACUGCGAGCGUGACGGCGCGAGCAGGUGCGAAAGCAGGUCAUAGUGAUCCGGUGGUUCUGAAUGGAAGGGCCAUCGCUCAACGGAUAAAAGGUACUCCGGGGAUAACAGGCUGAUACCGCCCAAGAGUUCAUAUCGACGGCGGUGUUUGGCACCUCGAUGUCGGCUCAUCACAUCCUGGGGCUGAAGUAGGUCCCAAGGGUAUGGCUGUUCGCCAUUUAAAGUGGUACGCGAGCUGGGUUUAGAACGUCGUGAGACAGUUCGGUCCCUAUCUGCCGUGGGCGCUGGAGAACUGAGGGGGGCUGCUCCUAGUACGAGAGGACCGGAGUGGACGCAUCACUGGUGUUCGGGUUGUCAUGCCAAUGGCACUGCCCGGUAGCUAAAUGCGGAAGAGAUAAGUGCUGAAAGCAUCUAAGCACGAAACUUGCCCCGAGAUGAGUUCUCCCUGAGACUUAGAGUCUCCUGAAGGAACGUUGAAGACGACGACGUUGAUAGGCCGGGUGUGUAAGCGCAGCGAUGCGUUGAGCUAACCGGUACUAAUGAACCGUGAGGCUUAACCUU
Molecule: ribosomal RNA, 2990 nt
Filed under: Salmonella enterica subsp. enterica serovar Typhimurium
Lineage: Bacteria; Pseudomonadati; Pseudomonadota; Gammaproteobacteria; Enterobacterales; Enterobacteriaceae
Description: bacterial LSU rRNA
Rfam family: Bacterial large subunit ribosomal RNA
Source: RNAcentral